Molecule: unclassified non-coding RNA, 335 nt
Filed under: soil metagenome
Description: partial contains 5.8S ribosomal RNA, internal transcribed spacer 2, and large subunit ribosomal RNA
Rfam family: 5.8S ribosomal RNA (bases 1-120)
Source: RNAcentral
GAUGAAGAACGCAGCGAAAUGCGAUAAGUAGUGUGAAUUGCAGAAUUCAGUGAAUCAUCGAAUCUUUGAACGCACAUUGCGCCCCUUGGUAUUCCAUGGGGCAUGCCUGUUCGAGCGUCAUUUGUACCUUCAAGCUCUGCUUGGUGUUGGGUGUUUGUCUCGCCUCUGCGUGUAGACUCGCCUCAAAACAAUUGGCAGCCGGCGUAUUGAUUUCGGAGCGCAGUACAUCUCGCGCUUUGCACUCAUAACGACGACGUCCAAAAGUACAUUUUUACACUCUUGACCUCGGAUCAGGUAGGGAUACCCGCUGAACUUAAGCAUAUCAAUAAGCGGGA